RNAcentral lists this ribosomal RNA (753 nucleotides) under uncultured Pseudomonadales bacterium. Its description in RNAcentral is "bacterial SSU rRNA". It matches the Rfam family "Bacterial small subunit ribosomal RNA", at positions 28 to 776 of the family's 1533-position model. Lineage: Bacteria; Pseudomonadati; Pseudomonadota; Gammaproteobacteria; Pseudomonadales. The record is from RNAcentral.
AUUGAACGCUGGCGGCAGGCCUAACACAUGCAAGUCGAGCGGAUGAGUGGAGCUUGCUCCAUGAUUCAGCGGCGGACGGGUGAGUAAUGCCUAGGAAUCUGCCUGGUAGUGGGGGACAACGUUUCGAAAGGAACGCUAAUACCGCAUACGUCCUACGGGAGAAAGUGGGGGAUCUUCGGACCUCACGCUAUCAGAUGAGCCUAGGUCGGAUUAGCUAGUUGGCGAGGUAAAGGCUCACCAAGGCGACGAUCCGUAACUGGUCUGAGAGGAUGAUCAGUCACACUGGAACUGAGACACGGUCCAGACUCCUACGGGAGGCAGCAGUGGGGAAUAUUGGACAAUGGGCGAAAGCCUGAUCCAGCCAUGCCGCGUGUGUGAAGAAGGUCUUCGGAUUGUAAAGCACUUUAAGUUGGGAGGAAGGGCAGUAAGUUAAUACCUUGCUGUUUUGACGUUACCGACAGAAUAAGCACCGGCUAACUUCGUGCCAGCAGCCGCGGUAAUACGAAGGGUGCAAGCGUUAAUCGGAAUUACUGGGCGUAAAGCGCGCGUAGGUGGUUCGUUAAGUUGGAUGUGAAAGCCCCGGGCUCAACCUGGGAACUGCAUCCAAAACUGGCGAGCUAGAGUAUGGCAGAGGGUGGUGGAAUUUCCUGUGUAGCGGUGAAAUGCGUAGAUAUAGGAAGGAACACCAGUGGCGAAGGCGACCACCUGGGCUAAUACUGACACUGAGGUGCGAAAGCGUGGGGAGCAAACAGG